UACGUAGGGGGCAAGCGUUGUCCGGAUUUAUUGGGCGUAAAGAGCGUGUAGGCGGCCAUACAGGUCAGCUGUGAAAACUCGAGGCUCAACCUCGAGACGUCGGUUGAAACCGUAUGGCUAGAGUCCGGAAGAGGAGAGUGGAAUUCCCGGUGUAGCAGUGAAAUGCGCAGAUAUCGGGAAGAACACCCGUGGCGAAGGCGGCUCUCUGGGACGGUACUGACGCUGAGACGCGAAAGCCAGGGGAGCGAACGGG
Molecule: ribosomal RNA, 253 nt
Filed under: uncultured bacterium
Lineage: Bacteria
Description: partial 16S ribosomal RNA
Rfam family: Bacterial small subunit ribosomal RNA
Source: RNAcentral